GACGAGGUGACCGAGCGGUUAAGGUGAUGGACUGCUAAUCCAUUGUACAUUGCACGCAUGGGUUCGAAUCCCAUCCUCGUCG
This 82-nucleotide transfer RNA is filed under the name Daphnia pulicaria. RNAcentral's name for it is "tRNA-Ser". It matches the Rfam family "tRNA". Rfam says of the family: Transfer RNA (tRNA) molecules are approximately 80 nucleotides in length. Their secondary structure includes four short double-helical elements and three loops (D, anti-codon, and T loops). Lineage: Eukaryota; Metazoa; Arthropoda; Branchiopoda; Diplostraca; Daphniidae. The record is from RNAcentral.